RNAcentral lists this ribosomal RNA (1345 nucleotides) under uncultured bacterium. Its description in RNAcentral is "partial 16S ribosomal RNA". It matches the Rfam family "Bacterial small subunit ribosomal RNA", at positions 28 to 1381 of the family's 1533-position model. The record is from RNAcentral.
GACGAACGCUGGCGGCGUGCUUAACACAUGCAAGUCGAACGGAAAGGCCCUGCUUUUGUGGGGUGCUCGAGUGGCGAACGGGUGAGUAACACGUGAGUAACCUGCCCUUGACUUUGGGAUAACUUCAGGAAACUGGGGCUAAUACCGGAUAGGAGCUCCUGCUGCAUGGUGGGGGUUGGAAAGUUUCGGCGGUUGGGGAUGGACUCGCGGCUUAUCAGCUUGUUGGUGGGGUAGUGGCUUACCAAGGCUUUGACGGGUAGCCGGCCUGAGAGGGUGACCGGCCACAUUGGGACUGAGAUACGGCCCAGACUCCUACGGGAGGCAGCAGUGGGGAAUAUUGCACAAUGGGCGGAAGCCUGAUGCAGCAACGCCGCGUGCGGGAUGACGGCCUUCGGGUUGUAAACCGCUUUCGCCUGUGACGAAGCGUGAGUGACGGUAAUGGGUAAAGAAGCACCGGCUAACUACGUGCCAGCAGCCGCGGUGAUACGUAGGGUGCGAGCGUUGUCCGGAUUUAUUGGGCGUAAAGGGCUCGUAGGUGGUUGAUCGCGUCGGAAGUGUAAUCUUGGGGCUUAACCCUGAGCGUGCUUUCGAUACGGGUUGACUUGAGGAAGGUAGGGGAGAAUGGAAUUCCUGGUGGAGCGGUGGAAUGCGCAGAUAUCAGGAGGAACACCAGUGGCGAAGGCGGUUCUCUGGGCCUUUCCUGACGCUGAGGAGCGAAAGCGUGGGGAGCGAACAGGCUUAGAUACCCUGGUAGUCCACGCUGUAAACGGUGGGUACUAGGUGUGGGGUCCAUUCCACGGGUUCCGUGCCGUAGCUAACGCUUUAAGUACCCCGCCUGGGGAGUACGGCCGCAAGGCUAAAACUCAAAGGAAUUGACGGGGCCCGCACAAGCGGCGGAGCAUGCGGAUUAAUUCGAUGCAACGCGUAGAACCUUACCUGGGUUUGACAUGGAUCGGGAGUGCUCAGAGAUGGGUGUGCCUCUUUUGGGGUCGGUUCACAGGUGGUGCAUGGCUGUCGUCAGCUCGUGUCGUGAGAUGUUGGGUUAAGUCCCGCAACGAGCGCAACCCUUGUUCACUGUUGCCAGCACGUUAUGGUGGGGACUCAGUGGAGACCGCCGGGGUCAACUCGGAGGAAGGUGGGGAUGACGUCAAGUCAUCAUGCCCCUUAUGUCCAGGGCUUCACGCAUGCUACAAUGGCUGGUACAGAGAGUGGCGAGCCUGUGAGGGUGAGCGAAUCUCGGAAAGCCGGUCUCAGUUCGGAUUGGGGUCUGCAACUCGACCUCAUGAAGUCGGAGUCGCUAGUAAUCGCAGAUCAGCAACGCUGCGGUGAAUAAAUUCCCGGGGCU